Molecule: ribosomal RNA, 329 nt
Filed under: uncultured bacterium
Lineage: Bacteria
Description: bacterial SSU rRNA
Rfam family: Bacterial small subunit ribosomal RNA
Source: RNAcentral
UGCGUAGGCGGGUAUGUAAGUCAGUGGUGAAAUCUCAGAGCUUAACUCUGAAACUGCCAUUGAUACUAUAUAUCUUGAAUAUUGUGGAGGUAAGCGGAAUAUGUCAUGUAGCGGUGAAAUGCUUAGAUAUGACAUAGAACACCCAUUGCGAAGGCAGCUUACUACACAUAUAUUGACGCUGAGGCACGAAAGCGUGGGGAUCAAACAGGAUUAGAUACCCUGGUAGUCCACGCCCUAAACGAUGAUUACUCGACAUACGCAAUACACCGUGUGUGUCUGAGCGAAAAGCAUUAAGUAAUCCACCUGGGAAGUACGACCGCAAGGUUGAA